This 616-nucleotide ribosomal RNA is filed under the name uncultured bacterium. RNAcentral describes it as "bacterial SSU rRNA". It matches the Rfam family "Bacterial small subunit ribosomal RNA", at positions 28 to 692 of the family's 1533-position model. The record is from RNAcentral.
AACGAACGCUGGCGGCAGGCCUAACACAUGCAAGUCGAGCGCCCCGCAAGGGGAGCGGCGGACGGGUGAGUAACACGUGGGAAUUUUCCUCAAGGUACGGAACAACUCGGGGAAACUUGGGCUAAUACCGUAUGAUGCAGAGAUGCCAAAGAUUUAUCGCCUUGGGAUAAGCCCGCGUCAGAUUAGGUAGUUGGUGAGGUAACGGCUCACCAAGCCUGUGAUCUGUAGCUGGUCUGAGAGGACGAUCAGCCACAUUGGGACUGAGACACGGCCCAAACUCCUACGGGAGGCAGCAGUGGGGAAUCUUGCGCAAUGGGCGAAAGCCUGACGCAGCCAUGCCGCGUGAAUGAUGAAGGUCUUAGGAUUGUAAAGUUCUUUCGCUCGUGACGAUGAUGACGGUAACGAGAGAAGAAGCCCCGGCUAACUUCGUGCCAGCAGCCGCGGUAAUACGAAGGGGGCUAGCGUUGUCCGGAUUUACUGGGCGUAAAGGGCGCGUAGGCGGUUCUUUAAGUCGCCGGUGAAAUCGCUCGGCUUAACCGAGCAAUUGCCGGCGAUACUGGGGAACUUGAGUCCGGGAGAGGAGAGUGGAAUUGCCGGUGUAGCGGUGAAAUGCGUA